UUGAACGCUGGCGGCAGGCCUAACACAUGCACGUCGAACGGUAACAGGAAGAAGCUUGCUUCUUUGCUGACGAGUGGCGGACGGGUGAGUAAUGUCUGGGAAACUGCCUGAUGGAGGGGGAUAACUACUGGAAACGGUAGCUAAUACCGCAUAACGUCGCAAGACCAAAAAGGGGGACCUUCGGGCCUCUUGCCAUCGGAUGUGCCCAGAUGGGAUUAGCUAGUAGGUGGGGUAACGGCUCACCUAGGCGACGAUCCCUAGCUGGUCUGAGAGGAUGACCAGCCACACUGGAACUGAGACACGGUCCAGACUCCUACGGGAGGCAGCAGUGGGGAAUAUUGCACAAUGGGCGCAAGCCUGAUGCAGCCAUGCCGCGUGUAUGAAGAAGGCCUUCGGGUUGUAAAGUACUUUCAGCGGGGAGGAAGGGAGUAAAGUUAAUACCUUUGCUCAUUGACGUUACCCGCAGAAGAAGCACCGGCUAACUCCGUG
This 489-nucleotide ribosomal RNA is filed under the name uncultured bacterium. RNAcentral's name for it is "partial 16S ribosomal RNA". It matches the Rfam family "Bacterial small subunit ribosomal RNA", at positions 30 to 507 of the family's 1533-position model. The record is from RNAcentral.